Molecule: long non-coding RNA, 458 nt
Organism: Podarcis raffonei (Aeolian wall lizard)
Lineage: Eukaryota; Metazoa; Chordata; Lepidosauria; Squamata; Lacertidae
Exons: 3
Source: RefSeq, a predicted model, not a curated record
UACCUUGAAGCCCAUUAGAAUGGGUUGAGCAGCCAAGAAGGCCCCUCUUGGCCUUAUAUAAUGACAGUAUUGAGCCUCAGACGGAGAGAAGUAUUUGAGCUCUUCCUCCUCCAUAUUACCAGGAAGCCUAGUCCUCUGUCUCCAAGCAAUCACUCUUCGAAAUAGUCUUUCUAAUCAGACAGAGCUUUUUCCUUGCUAACAUGAAGCCACGCUUGGCUCAGGUCUGGCUGCUUGGAGUCUGUCUUUUGCUCUGCCUCAGCUGUGGAGCAAAUGCCUUAAUCUGUAGUGUGUGCAAUUCAGAGGGUGAAGGACAGCCAUGUGUACCAGUUGCCCCAUAUGUACAAAAAUGCCCUGAUGAUCCACGUACAGGACAUCCUGCAGCCUGCGUCUUGUACAGAAUCUCUUCAAUGGUAACUAAACAUGUGUUGCGCUACUACAAAGGAUGCGGCUUCUAUGCC